GGAUCCAGACUUUGAUUAUGGCUCAGGAUGAACGCUAGCUACAGGCUUAACACAUGCAAGUCGAGGGGAAACGACAUCGAAAGCUUGCUUUUGAUGGGCGUCGACCGGCGCACGGGUGAGUAACGCGUAUCCAACCUGCCCAUCACUUGGGGAUAACCUUGCGAAAGUAAGACUAAUACCCAAUGACGUCUCUAGAAGACAUCUGAAAGAGAUUAAAGAUUUAUCGGUGAUGGAUGGGGAUGCGUCUGAUUAGCUUGUUGGCGGGGUAACGGCCCACCAAGGCAACGAUCAGUAGGGGUUCUGAGAGGAAGGUCCCCCACAUUGGAACUGAGACACGGUCCAAACUCCUACGGGAGGCAGCAGUGAGGAAUAUUGGUCAAUGGGCGAGAGCCUGAACCAGCCAAGUAGCGUGCAGGAUGACGGCCCUAUGGGUUGUAAACUGCUUUUAUAAGGGAAUAAAGUGAGUCUCGUGAGACUUUUUGCAUGUACCUUAUGAAUAAGGACCGGCUAAUUCCGUGCCAGCAGCCGCGGUAAUACGGAAGGUCCGGGCGUUAUCCGGAUUUAUUGGGUUUAAAGGGAGCGUAGGCCGGAGAUUAAGCGUGUUGUGAAAUGUAGACGCUCAACGUCUGCACUGCAGCGCGAACUGGUUUCCUUGAGUACGCACAAAGUGGGCGGAAUUCGUGGUGUAGCGGUGAAAUGCUUAGAUAUCACGAAGAACUCCGAUUGCGAAGGCAGCUCACUGGAGCGCAACUGACGCUGAAGCUCGAAAGUGCGGGUAUCGAACAGGAUUAGAUACCCUGGUAGUCCGCACGGUAAACGAUGGAUGCCCGCUGUUGGUCUGAAUAGGUCAGCGGCCAAGCGAAAGCAUUGAGCAUCCCACCUGGGGAGUACGCCGGCAACGGUGCAACUCAAAUGAAUUGACGG
RNAcentral lists this ribosomal RNA (924 nucleotides) under uncultured Bacteroidota bacterium. RNAcentral's name for it is "bacterial SSU rRNA". It matches the Rfam family "Bacterial small subunit ribosomal RNA", at positions 1 to 916 of the family's 1533-position model. Lineage: Bacteria; Pseudomonadati; Bacteroidota. The record is from RNAcentral.